This 460-nucleotide ribosomal RNA is filed under the name uncultured bacterium. RNAcentral describes it as "partial 16S ribosomal RNA". It matches the Rfam family "Bacterial small subunit ribosomal RNA", at positions 338 to 795 of the family's 1533-position model. The record is from RNAcentral.
CCUACGGGAGGCAGCAGUGAGGAAUAUUGGUCAAUGGACGAGAGUCUGAACCAGCCAAGUAGCGUGAAGGAUGACUGCCCUAUGGGUUGUAAACUUCUUUUAUAAAGGAAUAAAACGAGGCACGUGUGCCUUUUUGCAUGUACUUUAUGAAUAAGGACCGGCUAACUCCGUGCCAGCAGCCGCGGUAAUACGGAGGAUCCGAGCGUUAUCCGGAUUUAUUGGGUUUAAAGGGAGCGUAGAUGGGUUGUUAAGUCAGUUGUGAAAGUUUGCGGCUCAACCGUAAAAUUGCAAUUGAUACUGGUAGUCUUGAGUGCAGUUGAGGUAGGCGGAAUUCGUGGUGUAGCGGUGAAAUGCUUAGAGAUCACGAAGAACCCCGAUUGCGAAGGCAGCUUACUAAACUGUGACUGACAUUGAUGCUCGAAAGUGUGGGUAUCAAACAGGAUUAGAUACCCGGGUAGUC